GUUUCCCAAGUAUAGUGGUCAUCACGUUCGCCUGACACACGAAAAGUUCCCUGGUUCGAAACCGGGUGGAAACA
This is a non-coding RNA of Caranx melampygus (bluefin trevally), 74 nucleotides long. Lineage: Eukaryota; Metazoa; Chordata; Actinopteri; Carangiformes; Carangidae. The record is from the annotation of a GenBank genome assembly.